GGGGUGCUGCUGUGGAUUGAUGUCACUGUCAUGUGCUCUGCAGUGCUGCUGCUGCUUGAGUGAUUCCGAUAUCUGAAGCCUCUCCAGCCUUUCCACGACCUUUUGAAACGAAGCUUGCUGCUGCAUGGUGGAGAUCACAUCUUGCUUGGCCUUGGGAAAGUUUUGACUUUUCUGCUGCUGCUGCUGCUGCUGCUGGCUUCUCUCUGGCGAGCUGUCGGUUUUUACGCCGGGGCCAAGCACUGCAAGCUCAUCUUUAAAAAAGUCUUCAAGCUUGCGGCAUGGUCCGUCCAGAUGAGUGUCGCUCAGACCCAUCAGCCGUGCGACAACGUUUGUUCGCUGCUGCUGCUGCUGCUGCUGCUGCGAGUUCUGAUACGUUUUUGACAGCAUGCCAACGUCGAAGGACCUUCGAGGUGGCUCGUAAGAUGGAGGAUCAUCUGGGGGGUCGCUUGUUCCGAGGAGAAUUCGACCGUCAAGAGAACGACGGGGUGGUUCCUUUAACUUGAACUCGCUGAUACCGUCGCAGGAGAACCUUGGAGGAUCUAGACCGGUUUUGCUUCUGUCCUUGACGAGCCUGAACGAGUCUCUCAAUUUGGAGAGAGUGGACCGUCUUGGAGCCGCGGCCCAAGUUCCUCUUGCAUCAUCGGGAGUGAAAGUGAAGUACCUGUCUUCCGGAGGACUUGCCUUGCUCUUUUGCCGCUGGUUCUUAGGGAGGAGCUUCUCCUUCAGAGCGCGCGCCAUUUCUACUCGAGCUUCUUCCGUGCAUCGAUGAAUUGCGGACAAGGAAAUGGCUGCUGAAAGAGCAGCGAGCAGCGAGGCCUGGAAGCCGAGCGGAUUGAAUUCUUGUCACCAAGAUGAAGCCAAGUGGAGCUUUCACAACAGUUAGCUUGGCAUUAUCUCUGGGCAAUUUAUUCAGCAUGAAGAAAUGAGGACGCCUAUGAUCUACCUAGUGUGUGGAGGAUUGGACAGGUUCGCUAUUGUCGUAUAUUUUUCCGUUACAUCUCGAGUGAUUGUUUGUUUUGAGGUUGGGAUUGGGAUUAGAAGGGAGCGUCACUUUUCUGUGAAUAUGUUGCUAGAGGUGGGGGGUGGUCACGGAGUACUCGCACGACACAAAAAAAAGGAGAGGCCAAACUUUGAGGUAGGCAGGCCCGUGAAGAAAGAAGUUAAUGAGACUCGAGAGAGGAGAAAAAAUCAUUGGUUUCAAGCAGUUACAAAUGGUUUAUAGUACUGCCAAUGAUGAAAGUUCGAGCUAUUUAAAAUUAAUACCAAAUACAGAUAAAUAGAAAGUAUGAAUAGAUUUAUGUACAUUUUGAUUUUU
Long non-coding RNA from Selaginella moellendorffii, 1315 nucleotides. RefSeq lists it as uncharacterized. The transcript has 4 exons. Lineage: Eukaryota; Viridiplantae; Streptophyta; Lycopodiopsida; Selaginellales; Selaginellaceae. The record is from RefSeq and is a predicted model, not a curated record.